CUCCCAGACUCCUACGGGAGGCAGCAGUGGGGAAUAUUGCACAAUGGGGGGAACCCUGAUGCAGCGACGCCGCGUGAGUGAAGAAGUCUUUCGGUAUGUAAAGCUCUGUCAGCAGGGAAGAAGAAAGACGGUACCUGACCAAGAAGCCCCGGCUAACUACGUGCCAGCAGCCGCGGUAAUACGUAGGGGGCAAGCGUUAUCCGGAUUUACUGGGUGUAAAGGGAGCGUAGACGGCAGGGCAAGUCUGGAGUGAAAGGCGGGGGCCCAACCCCUGGACUGCUCUGGAAACUGUCCGGCUGGAGUGCAGGAGAGGUAAGUGGAAUUCCUAGUGUAGCGGUGAAAUGCGUAGAUAUUAGGAGGAACACCAGUGGCGAAGGCGGCCUGCUGGACUGUAACUGACGUUGAGGCUCGAAAGCGUGGGGAGCAAACAGGAUUAGAUACCCCGGUAU
Molecule: ribosomal RNA, 449 nt
Filed under: uncultured bacterium
Lineage: Bacteria
Description: bacterial SSU rRNA
Rfam family: Bacterial small subunit ribosomal RNA
Source: RNAcentral